Molecule: ribosomal RNA, 403 nt
Filed under: uncultured bacterium
Lineage: Bacteria
Description: partial 16S ribosomal RNA
Rfam family: Bacterial small subunit ribosomal RNA
Source: RNAcentral
AUUGAACGCUGGCUGCAGGCCUAACACAUGCAAGUCGAGCGAGCGUCGGACGGGUGAGUAAUGUAUGGGGUCUGCCCGUUAGCUGGGGUUAACUAUUGGACACGGUGGCUAAUACCGCAUCCUUUCGGUAGACCAAUAUGCGAUUAGCUAGUAGGUAAGGUAAUGGGUUACCUAGGAGACGAUCCCUAGCUGGUCUGCGGGGAUGAUCAGCCACACGGGGACUGAGCCACGGCCCAGACUCCUACGGAGGCAGCAGUGGGGAAUAUGGCACAAUGGGCGCAAGCCUGAUGCAGCCAUGCCGCGUGGAUGAAGAAGGCCCUAGGGUUGUAAAGUACUUUCAGUCGGGAGGCGUUACCGACAGAAGAAGCACCGGCUAACUCCGUGCCAGCAGCCGCGGUAAUUC